CAUUAGAUGUCUGAAAGUAAGUAAUAGUCUCUUAAACUAAUAAUAUUAGAGUAACGCCUAUUUCUAAUG
This 69-nucleotide transfer RNA is filed under the name Staphylinoidea sp. 10 KM-2017. RNAcentral's name for it is "tRNA-Lys". The record is from RNAcentral. Lineage: Eukaryota; Metazoa; Arthropoda; Insecta; Coleoptera.